This 449-nucleotide ribosomal RNA is filed under the name uncultured bacterium. Its description in RNAcentral is "partial 16S ribosomal RNA". It matches the Rfam family "Bacterial small subunit ribosomal RNA", at positions 28 to 523 of the family's 1533-position model. The record is from RNAcentral.
GACGAACGCUGGCGGCAUGCCUAAUACAUGCAAGUCGAACGAGAUCUUCGGGUCUAGUGGCGCACGGGUGCGUAACGCGUGGGAAUCUGCCCUUUGGUCCGGAAUAACAGUUGGAAACGACUGCUAAUACCGGAUGAUGACGCAAUUCCAAAGAUUUAUCGCCAGAGGAUGAGCCAGCGUAGGAUUAGCUAGUAGGGGUGGUAAAGGCGCACCAAGGCGACGAUCCUUAGCUGGUCUGAGAGGAUGAUCAGCCCCACUGGGACUGAGACACGGCCCAGACUCCUACGGGAGGCAGCAGUGGGGAAUAUUGUACAAUGGGCGAAAGCCUGAUCCAGCAAUGCCGCGUGAGUGAUGAAGGCCUUAGGGUUGUAAAGCUCUUUUACCCGGGAUGAUAAUGACAGUACCGGGAGAAUAAGCCCCGGCUAACUCCGUGCCAGCCGCCGCGGUAA